UUCUAGAAUGGACGCUGAUUAGAAAGGAGGGAAUUUGAAUGUUUUAGGUUAAAUAAAUAUUUUUUUCUCUAAGUUCUUUGCCAGCGCUAUUAGACUAUAAAUAUAAAUAAUAGAGAAUGGCAAGGCUUUGUUCAGAUGUCUGUUCAUUGUUAAAUGAUGCACUUAUAAAGAAACUAUUUCAGCAUAAAAUUUUUACUGUCGUCGAUGUUCUUGAAGAAGAUUCAGAAAAAUUAGUGCAAAUUUUAAAGUUGUCUUAUAAGGAAGUGCUGCAGGUACGCCACACCAUCAUCGCAAACUAUGCUGCCUUCCCGAGGAAGUGUAACGACAUCUAUGAAGACCUGGUGUCCAACUCUGCCCUCAUACCGACCGGCAUCGCCAGCGUGGACGGGCUGCUGGGCGGCGGGCUGCUGACGGACCAGGUGUGGGAGCUGUGCGGGCCCGCGGGCGAGGGCAAGACCCAGCUGUGCCUGGCCGCCGCCUGCCACGCGGCGCUCGCCCUGCGCCAGCCGGUCCACUACGUCGACACCCAGCUGGGCUUCUCGGGCCGCCGCCUGCAGGCCGCGCUCGAGGCCCGCGCCGCCCCCCACCAGGAGAUGGCGGGCGCCAUGGAGCGGGUGCAAGUGACGCGGGUGAGCGACUCGUACCAGUUGCUGGGCGCGCUGCACCGGCUGAAGACGGCCCUGCAGGACGGCCGGGAGGGCGGCGGGGCGGGGCGGCUGGUGGUCGUCGACUCCCUGGCCGCUCUCUUCUUCUCCUACCUGGGCGAGGACCACAACGACGGCCUGAGCCAGCUGAACCACGUGGCCAACGUGCUGCGCUUCCUGGCGUCGGAGUGCCACGUGGCGGUGGUGGUGGUGAACGUGGCGGUGCGUGGCGGGGACGACCUCCGGCAGCAGCAGGAUGAGGCGGCGGCCGGGACGCUGCGGCCGGCCCUGGGGCGCUACUGGGCUCACGUCCCCAGCACCCGCCUCCUGCUGCAGGACGGCACGCUGUCCGUCGCCAAGAGCACGCACCUGCCCCGGGGCGCGUCCUGCCCCGUCCACGUCACCGACAAGGGGGUCGAGUGACCGCAUCCACUAGCCACUAGAUCUCCCCAAUAAAAUGGUGUUGGUGCCAAAAGUGCUGGCUGCCCGGUUCUUCGAGGAAGAAGUGGAGGAGGGAAUGUUGCCAAACAUCGCUGCCUCCUUCUUUACGGAGGAUGUGAAGGAAGCCGCCCCCUUCUCCACAACCUCCGCAGCCCUGGAAACAUGGCGGGGCCCUCUGGGACGUGUCCCUGGGAACGACCCCCCCACCGCAGACGAAGGCUGGGGCUAUCGCCUCGCCUCCUCCCCACCACGUGUUUCCGCGCCACCGUCAGACAGGGUUGUGGCCAAGCUACUGGCGGUGGAAAAAAAGAAUUAAAAAAAGUUGCCGUGCCAAGAGGGCUGCAGCCUGACCACCGCGCCGCGGUGACAGGGCCCUCCGGCUUCGGCACGGCACUGCGGCAGUCUGGUCCGUGCAAGUCGCGCUGGAGGAUCCUGCACUCUGCGCUGUCGCCCGGGUCGUAGAGCCGUGCCGGGCUCGAGUGUCCAGCAAGUGACUACCGACCGACGAGAACAAGAGCGGUUGAGACUCACUUGUGCAUGCUGAACAAUUUUUUUUUUUUGAAAACAUGUAUUUAUUGAGUUAGAAUAAUAAUUUUUUUUUUAUUAUUCUCACACUACACCUGUUGCUAUUAAGGAUCACCCCAUUACCUUCGGUAGAUAUUGAAAUACACUGAAAUAAGUUAAACAUGUGUACCUACUGUAUUUAAUUUUACGUGCACUUUUAUGCAGUUUUUUUUAUUUAUUUUUUAUUAAUGUUAAUAUGUGGUACCUACCUGUUAAGAUGAAAAAAAAAACUGUCUCUCACUUAAAUAAUUAUUUAAUAAAAUAAAAAUAAUAUGGUUAUUAUUUACAAUUUUUAGUUUUUUUAUGGCCUUUCCCAUGAAUCGCUCUUGCAUUGCAAAUGAGUUAACAGAAAACCUGGUGACUCG
RNA transcript from Bacillus rossius redtenbacheri, 2014 nucleotides. It is a transcript of the gene named DNA repair protein RAD51 homolog 4-like, with no coding region annotated. The record is from RefSeq and is a predicted model, not a curated record. Lineage: Eukaryota; Metazoa; Arthropoda; Insecta; Phasmatodea; Bacillidae. The transcript has 7 exons.